RNAcentral lists this ribosomal RNA (261 nucleotides) under uncultured archaeon. Its description in RNAcentral is "partial 16S ribosomal RNA". It matches the Rfam family "Archaeal small subunit ribosomal RNA", at positions 748 to 1009 of the family's 1478-position model. The record is from RNAcentral.
AGGGUGUAAACGCUGCGGGCUUGGUGUUGGGGGUCCUUUGAGGGCGCCCAGUGCCGGAGAGAAGUUGUUAAGCCUGCUGCUUGGGGAGUACGUCCGCAAGGAUGAAACUUAAAGGAAUUGGCGGGGGAGCACCGCAACGGGAGGAGCGUGCGGUUCAAUUGGAUUCAACGCCGGAAAUCUUACCGGGACCGACAGCAACAUGAAGGCCAAGCUGAAGACUUUGCCGGAUUAGCUGAGAGGAGGUGCAUGGCGUAGUCGUGU